AACGCUAGCUACAGGCUUAACACAUGCAAGUCGAGGGGCAGCAUUUUAGUUUGCUUGCAAACUAAAGAUGGCGACCGGCGCACGGGUGAGUAACACGUAUCCAACCUGCCGAUAACUCUGGGAUAGCCUUUCGAAAGAAAGAUUAAUACCGGAUGGCAUAGGAUUAUCGCAUGAUGAUCCUAUUAAAGAAUUUCGGUUAUCGAUGGGGAUGCGUUCCAUUAGGCAGUUGGUGAGGUAACGGCUCACCAAACCUUCGAUGGAUAGGGGUUCUGAGAGGAAGGUCCCCCACAUUGGAACUGAGACACGGUCCAAACUCCUACGGGAGGCAGCAGUGAGGAAUAUUGGUCAAUGGACGGGAGUCUGAACCAGCCAAGUAGCGUGAAGGAUGACUGCCCUAUGGGUUGUAAACUUCUUUUAUACGGGAAUAAAGUGAUCCACGUGUGGAUUUUUGUAUGUACCGUAUGAAUAAGGAUCGGCUAACUCCGUGCCAGCAGCCGCGGUAAUACGGAGGAUCCGAGCGUUAUCCGGAUUUAUUGGGUUUAAAGGGAGCGUAGGUGGAUUGUUAAGUCAGUUGUGAAAGUUUGCGGCUCAACCGUAAAAUUGCAGUUGAUACUGGCAGUCUUGAGUACAGUAGAGGUGGGCGGAAUUCGUGGUGUAGCGGUGAAAUGCUUAGAUAUCACGAAGAACUCCGAUUG
This 695-nucleotide ribosomal RNA is filed under the name uncultured Bacteroidales bacterium. RNAcentral's name for it is "bacterial SSU rRNA". It matches the Rfam family "Bacterial small subunit ribosomal RNA", at positions 32 to 715 of the family's 1533-position model. The record is from RNAcentral. Lineage: Bacteria; Pseudomonadati; Bacteroidota; Bacteroidia; Bacteroidales.